UGAUGACGUAUCGCCCACAUGUUUAGAUAUGAUGUGUAGAAUUAAUUUCCAUAAACUAUUUCAGCUUAUCUUAGAAAUCAUUGGUGUAUGCGCUUGUGGAAGCGGAGUUUAUGUUAAAAACUUGACUGUUUUUGAAAUAAUGACAGUGGCUCUACAGCGAGGACACGUCAAUAUAACUAACUGAAAAAGAAAGAAAUGGAAAAAAUAGGUCGACUCACAUCCAGAAGUACUUAUUGAUCGAGUUACAAUUGAUUUUCAGUUUAUUUUUUAGAAGAAAAUAAUUCCGGCUUCAAAGGGUUAACAAGUGAUCUCAAAGUUGCUUUAAGGUUAAAAGUACUAAAAAUGGAUAAGUUCUCAAGUAAACUUUAUUCAACUAUAUGAUUCUCCUUCUCAAGUUGGAAGGGAGGUGACUUUUUAUGCAAGGCUAUUCAUUUCCUUUUUAUUUGAUAUAUAUUAUACAUGCAUACAAUAAAGGUAUAAAUUACUAUAUCACUAAUAACAUUAUACAAAUUGAAAAAACCUU
Leptinotarsa decemlineata (Colorado potato beetle) is the source of this 523-nucleotide long non-coding RNA. NCBI's taxonomy places the organism in Eukaryota, Metazoa, Arthropoda, Insecta, Coleoptera, Chrysomelidae. The record is from RefSeq and is a predicted model, not a curated record.